AUUGAACGCUGGCGGCAUGCUUUACACAUGCAAGUCGAGCGGCAGCGCGGGGGCAACCCUGGCGGCGAGCGGCGAACGGGUGAGUAAUGCAUCAGAACGUAUCCUCGAGUGGGGGAUAACCCAGCGAAAGUUGGGCUAAUACCGCAUGAGCUCUGAGGAGGAAAGCGGGGGACCUGCGAGGGCCUCGCGCUGGAGGAGCGGCCGAUGUCCGAUUAGCUAGUUGGUGGGGUAAAGGCUUACCAAGGCGACGAUCGGUAGCUGGUCUGAGAGGAUGAUCAGCCACACUGGGACUGAGACACGGCCCAGACUCCUACGGGAGGCAGCAGUGGGGAAUUUUGGACAAUGGGGGCAACCCUGAUCCAGCCAUGCCGCGUGAGUGAAGAAGGCCUUCGGGUUGUAAAGCUCUUUCGGACGGAACGAAAUGGGCGGGACUAAUACUCCUGUCUGAUGACGGUACCGUAAGAAGAAGCACCGGCUAACUACGUG
This 486-nucleotide ribosomal RNA is filed under the name uncultured bacterium. RNAcentral's name for it is "partial 16S ribosomal RNA". It matches the Rfam family "Bacterial small subunit ribosomal RNA", at positions 29 to 507 of the family's 1533-position model. The record is from RNAcentral.